RNAcentral lists this ribosomal RNA (253 nucleotides) under uncultured bacterium. RNAcentral's name for it is "partial 16S ribosomal RNA". It matches the Rfam family "Bacterial small subunit ribosomal RNA", at positions 524 to 776 of the family's 1533-position model. The record is from RNAcentral.
UACGUAGGGGGCAAGCGUUGUCCGGAUUUAUUGGGCGUAAAGAGCGUGUAGGCGGCUUUGCAAGUCCGUUGUGAAAACUCGAGGCUCAACCUCGAGACGCCGGUGGAAACUGCAAAGCUAGAGUGCGGGAGAGGAGAGUGGAAUUCCUGGUGUAGCGGUGAAAUGCGCAGAUAUCAGGAAGAACACCCGUGGCGAAGGCGGCUCUCUGGAACGCAACUGACGCUGAGACGCGAAAGCGUGGGGAGCAAACAGG